This 377-nucleotide ribosomal RNA is filed under the name uncultured bacterium. RNAcentral's name for it is "bacterial SSU rRNA". It matches the Rfam family "Bacterial small subunit ribosomal RNA", at positions 523 to 898 of the family's 1533-position model. The record is from RNAcentral.
AUACGUAGGAGGCAAACGUUAUCCGGAUUUACUGGGCGUAAAGCGCGUGCAGGCUGUUCGAUAAGUUGGGCGUGAAAGCUCCCGGCUCAACUGGGAGAGGUCGUUCAAUACUGUCGGACUAGAGGAUGGUAGAGGAAGGUGGAAUUCCGGGUGUAGUGGUGAAAUGCGCAGAUAUCCGGAGGAACACCAGUGGCGAAAGCGGCCUUCUGGACCAUUCCUGACGCUCAGACGCGAAAGCUAGGGUAGCAAACGGGAUUAGAGACCCCGGUAGUCCUAGCUGUAAACGAUGUGAACUUGGCGUCGGUGGGAUUAAAUCCAUCGGUGUCGAAGCUAACGCGAUAAGUUCACCGCCUGAGGACUACGGCCGCAAGGUUAAA